Non-coding RNA from Arachis ipaensis, 785 nucleotides. The record is from RefSeq and is a predicted model, not a curated record. NCBI's taxonomy places the organism in Eukaryota, Viridiplantae, Streptophyta, Magnoliopsida, Fabales, Fabaceae.
CAUGUAUUCAGUCUUAAUUGGAGCUUGAUCAUUAUUUGUAUCCCAGAUAAAGGUGAUGAAUCAGGGCCAAUCAUACUUCAUCUGGAUUCUUUGAGUCUUCACUCUAGCAGAUCACUAUUUGAUAACAUCAAAAGGUUAGGAUGAAGUAGCACUUGAUUUAUUGUAUACCAUAUAUGUGACAUAUCUAGUUCAUUUCUGCUCUGGUUAUUAGUUCUUAAACAUAUCACAGCUUCCAUAUCUUGUGACUUCACUACCAUCCUAUGUUACAACAGCUGGCACAGGAAAGUGCCUUUCAUAAUAUAUAAAGAGAAAAUUAAACACCUCAUCAAUCAACUCAAAGAAAGUAGUGUGUUUAAAAUAGGGUCAUUUCAACAGGAAUGGCAUAUGCAUAUCUAAUCUUGCGAGCAAUCUGUUUCUAUGGAUUGAGGUGGCAGCCAAGAAAACUUUGCGGGGUUCUCAAAGGGGAAACAAUGUGUUCUUCAGUGGCCGCGAGCAGCGGGGAUUUUGUGACAUGGGAUCAAAAAUAUAGAUAGAUUAUAGAUAGAGGAUAUAUACUCUUUAAUAUUUUGUUGUCCUUUGCACCCACCGCAUGCAUAGCUGGCAUUGCCAAUUGUUCUUGUCUUUCUGUUUUUACUCUUAUAGUUUUACCAUUAGAUUUUGGAUUCACGCUUCUUUAUUUCCCCUUAAUACAAUAAAUGAAACUCGUGUCCAAUUCCAUGAUUCCUAAGAUUGACACUAUUGGAUUGAUUUCAAUUUUAAAAUAUUGUGAUUUGUGAUGGCUGGUA